This is a non-coding RNA of Carica papaya (papaya), 1262 nucleotides long. The record is from RefSeq and is a predicted model, not a curated record. NCBI's taxonomy places the organism in Eukaryota, Viridiplantae, Streptophyta, Magnoliopsida, Brassicales, Caricaceae.
UAGCAGACCAUAAUUAUUCUACAAAGUAGAGAAAUAGAACAAAAAUAUGAGGAAGAGCAUAGAGUAGAUAGAUAGAGGGAAAUGAGGGAUAAAGGUGAAAACUCUAAAGGGCAAAUAGAAGAAUAUUUGACAGGCAUGAAGAAUAAAAGAAUAUUUGACAGGCAUGAAGAAUAAGGGAGACAAAAACAUAAUAGAUAGAACACGAAUUAAAUUUACUUAAAAGUUAUCAAUUCCAAGUUUCCAUAAAUUUUGUGGAUUAGAACUCUUUAUAUAGGUUCUAAUCUUAACAGAAAAGGAAAACAAUUAAUAGGAAAAUAAACCCGAAGUUUCUGAAUUUGUUAAAUAACUCCAAUCUCUGACAAGGUCUUAUUUCUUAUUAGGAAAGUAAAAGCUUCUGUGUUAACUAGACUCGGUCCAGAUGGCAUAGUUUACAAACACAAGGCUAGACUUGUUCGAAGAGCUACGCUCUUGUAGCCCUAUAGCCAGACAUGAAAAAAUCAAGCUACAAAUUUCACUUCCUGCUUAGAUGGGUUGGUAAUCUACAACAUGGAUGUGGAACUUUAGAUAACAGUUGGAAUACCAUUCUCACUAAAUUACUUCAGUUAAAUAUGGAAAUUUCAUGGUAAGGAUUGCAACUGCCAGAUCUAAUGCUCUGCGGGUUUCUAAUGCUAUGUAACUUUAUGUUCAAGUUGUCACUUAAUUUGAAAUGCCCUUUAUAAAGUUCACAUGUUCUGAUCAGUCUAUAAGUUCAACGACUCACCUCGGUCUUAAAUAUUUUUGUUUAACGUGGUAUGAACAUCUUAGGAAUCUUUGUGAUCUCUUUUGUUGCAGAGGCUUCUUUCUCGGCAUUUUGAGCUUGAUUGGCAUCUUCUUGAAUAUGUAAAUGGCAAGUAGUUAAUUUUAAACAGACAUCUUACGAUGGGAAUCAACCUCACCAAAUUACAACUUGGUUAUUGAGGUAACUACGAAGUGAAAAUGAUGCUUCAGAGAAAGUUUCUGAUGACUUUAUGCAGUCCCUUUUUUGAAAAAAAGGAAAAAGAAAGAAAAACUGAUUGAUGCAUGUUGUUAUAGGAUCUGUGAUCAAACCUGAAUGCCUGAGUAAUUAUACAUUAUCAACCCAAAAAGCAUAUUUUUGUGUGUCAAAUGAGAAGUCAGUGUAAAAGCUAGUCUUACGUAUUAUUUAAUUGAGAAUAUGAAUCAACUAUGAUCAGGUAGCAAAAUUGUCUAUGGAAUGAAAUGGAUGUAAGAUUUUUGCGAGGUUA